GGUGCACUGGUGGGGUCCCUUGGCCUGGCCUGUGGGGAUUGGGCCGAAACCGGCAGUCCGACAUCCCCUAAAGGGUCCUGGAUUGCGAGAGGGUGCAGGCCAGGCCAAGGGACCCCACCGGUGCAUG
This 127-nucleotide microRNA precursor is filed under the name Myotis brandtii (Brandt's bat). Its description in RNAcentral is "mir-9193 microRNA precursor family". Lineage: Eukaryota; Metazoa; Chordata; Mammalia; Chiroptera; Vespertilionidae. The record is from Rfam by way of RNAcentral.